Shewanella sp. P1-14-1 is the source of this 114-nucleotide regulatory RNA element. It matches the Rfam family "Ribosomal S15 leader". Rfam says of the family: The E. coli Ribosomal S15 gene 5' UTR can form two alternative structures. One that is a series of three hairpins, The other includes a pseudoknot. NCBI's taxonomy places the organism in Bacteria, Pseudomonadati, Pseudomonadota, Gammaproteobacteria, Alteromonadales, Shewanellaceae. The record is from Rfam.
CCCUCUGGCUGAGUUAGUGAUUGGCUAGAGUUAAUUUAAUUUUUUCUGGAGAUAAAUAUGUCACUAAGUAAUGAACAAAAAGCAGCUAUCGUAGCUGAAUACAGCCGUGGUGAA